UACGGAGGGGGCAAGCGUUGUCCGGAUUUAUUGGGCGUAAAGAGCGUGUAGGCGGUCAGGUAGGUCCGUUGUGAAAACUCGAGGCUCAACCUCGAGACGCCGAUGGAAACCAUCUGACUAGAGUCCGGAAGAGGAGAGUGGAAUUCCUGGUGUAGCGGUGAAAUGCGCAGAUAUCAGGAAGAACACCCGUGGCUAAGGCGGCUCUCUAGUACGGUACUGACGCUGAGACGCGAAAGCGUGGGGAGCGAACAGG
RNAcentral lists this ribosomal RNA (253 nucleotides) under uncultured bacterium. Its description in RNAcentral is "partial 16S ribosomal RNA". It matches the Rfam family "Bacterial small subunit ribosomal RNA", at positions 524 to 776 of the family's 1533-position model. The record is from RNAcentral.